UGGGCAACCUGCCCCUAGCUCUGGGAUAACUGCGGGAAACUGUAGCUAAUACCGGAUGUGACACGAGACUGCAUGGUCUUCGUGUGGAAAGAUUUAUCGGCUAGGGAUGGGCCCGCGGUCUAUCAGCUUGUUGGUGGGGUAAUGGCUCACCAAGGCGACGACGGAUAACCGGCCUGAGAGGGCGACCGGUCACACUGGGACUGAGACAUGGCCCAGACCUCCGUACGGGAGCAG
This 234-nucleotide ribosomal RNA is filed under the name uncultured bacterium. Its description in RNAcentral is "partial 16S ribosomal RNA". It matches the Rfam family "Bacterial small subunit ribosomal RNA", at positions 118 to 347 of the family's 1533-position model. The record is from RNAcentral.